RNAcentral lists this ribosomal RNA (640 nucleotides) under uncultured bacterium. RNAcentral's name for it is "bacterial SSU rRNA". It matches the Rfam family "Bacterial small subunit ribosomal RNA", at positions 232 to 885 of the family's 1533-position model. The record is from RNAcentral.
CGCGGCCUAUCAGCUUGUUGGUGGGGUAACGGCCUACCAAGGCAACGACGGGUAGCUGGUCUGAGAGGACGAUCAGCCACACUGGGACUGAGACACGGCCCAGACUCCUACGGGAGGCAGCAGUAGGGAAUCUUGCGCAAUGGGGGAAACCCUGACGCAGCGACGCCGCGUGCGGGAUGAAGGCCUUCGGGUCGUAAACCGCUUUCAGCAGGGACGAAAUUGACGGUACCUGCAGAAGAAGGCCCGGCCAACUACGUGCCAGCAGCCGCGGUGAUACGUAGGGGUCUAGCGUUGUCCGGAAUCAUUGGGCGUAAAGAGCUCGUAGGCGGUUCGAUUAGUCGGGUGUGAAAUCUCCACGCUCAACGUGGAGGGGCCACUCGAUACUGUCGUGACUCGAGUCCGGUAGGGGAGUUCGGAAUUCCCGGUGUAGCGGUGAAAUGCGCAGAUAUCGGGAGGAACACCAGUGGCGAAGGCGGAACUCUGGGCCGGAACUGACGCUGAGGAGCGAAAGCGUGGGGAGCGAACAGGAUUAGAUACCCUGGUAGUCCACGCCGUAAACGUUGGGCACUAGGUGUGGGACUCUAUCGACGGGUUCCGUGCCGUAGCUAACGCAUUAAGUGCCCCCGCCUGGGGAGUACGG